RNAcentral lists this ribosomal RNA (393 nucleotides) under Triticum aestivum (bread wheat). Its description in RNAcentral is "partial small subunit ribosomal RNA". Lineage: Eukaryota; Viridiplantae; Streptophyta; Magnoliopsida; Poales; Poaceae. The record is from RNAcentral.
AUGCAUGCCCUUAUCGGUAUGGUUCCUCCGGAGCCUCGGGAACCAGAAGCAGGAGACAAGAAGAAGGAAAGAGUCGAAGCUGGUGCUCCUUUCACGUGGAUUGCAUGGAACUUUGGUUCUUGCCCUGAGGAUGCUAAUGAGAAUGAGGUCAAGACAUAUGCUCGCGUCUACAUGUGGUACGUUAUAUCCAGGACUAUGCUUGAUGAUGGCAUAGGCAAGAAUGCUCCAUUGAUGUGGCUGAAGGUGUUGACCGUCUUCGAUAGCAAAUGGAGUUGGAGUUUGGCGACACUGGCUUACCUAUAUAGACAGGUAGACAGUUGUUUCUUUUUCACUUCAUUGCUACAUUAUCAAUGCGAUCUUCUUGUUAAUCCAACCAUGUUCUCUUUUAUGUGA